AGAAAGCUUUUCUAAGAAUGAAGCUUUUAGUAACACUAUCAAGGAUGCAUUUGAGCAUCUCAUAAACAUCCGCCAGAAUCGACCUGCUGAGCUGAUUGCUAAGUUUUUGGACGAGAAGCUUCGUGCUGGCAAUAAAGGUACAUCAGAGGAGGAAUUGGAGGGGACAUUAGAUAAAGUCCUGGUUUUGUUCAGGUUUAUACAGGGUAAGGAUGUAUUUGAAGCAUUCUACAAGAAGGAUCUUGCAAAAAGACUGUUGUUGGGUAAGAGUGCGUCAAUUGAUGCUGAAAAGUCCAUGAUUUCUAAGUUGAAGACCGAGUGUGGCAGCCAGUUCACCAACAAAUUGGAAGGAAUGUUCAAGGACAUUGAAUUAUCAAAAGAGAUAAAUGAAUCCUUCAAGCAAUCUUCCCAAGCCAGAACAAAGCUCCCAACAGGGAUUGAGAUGAGUGUCCACGUUCUGACAAUGGGGUACUGGCCGACCUAUCCCCCCAUGGAUGUUCGACUUCCCCACGAACUCAAUGUCUAUCAGG
Molecule: unclassified non-coding RNA, 527 nt
Filed under: Hevea brasiliensis (rubber tree)
Lineage: Eukaryota; Viridiplantae; Streptophyta; Magnoliopsida; Malpighiales; Euphorbiaceae
Source: RNAcentral